Molecule: transfer RNA, 103 nt
Organism: Pseudozyma hubeiensis SY62
Lineage: Eukaryota; Fungi; Basidiomycota; Ustilaginomycetes; Ustilaginales; Ustilaginaceae
Rfam family: tRNA
About the family: Transfer RNA (tRNA) molecules are approximately 80 nucleotides in length. Their secondary structure includes four short double-helical elements and three loops (D, anti-codon, and T loops).
Source: Rfam
GCGUUCAUGGUGAAGUGGUUAUCAUAUCUCUUUCCCAUUUUGUGUCAUAUGAGGAUGAUGCGGUGCAAAGAGGAGGCCGCGGGUUCGAACCCCGCUGGACGCA